CCGCAUCUGUGCAUGCAGCAUAUCAAUAAGCGGAGGAAAAGAAACUAACAAGGAUUCCCCUAGUAACGGCGAGUGAAGCGGGAAGAGCUCAAAUUUGAAAUCUUAAAGGGUUUCCCUUUACGAAUUGUAGUUUAAAGAAGUGUUUUCUGUUGAGGUUUUGGUAAAAGUUCUUUGGAAUAGGACAUCAUAGAGGGUGAGAAUCCCGUAUUUGACCUUUACUUUCAACUUUGUGAUACACUUUCAAAGAGUCGGAUUGUUUGGGAAUGCAGUCCAAAAUGGGUGGUAAAUUUCAUCUAAAGCUAAAUAUUGGCGAGAGACUGAUAGCGAACAAGUACCGUGAGGGAAAGAUGAAAAGAACUUUGAAAAGAGAGUUAAACAGUACGUGAAAUUGUCAAAAGGGAAGCGUUUGACACCAGUGUUGUUUUUCUGAAAAUCAAUUAAAGAACUGUUUAUGCUAAGUUGUUUAGACUUUAUCAGCUAUCUGCUUAGUUUUGAGCUUUUCUUUAAUGCACUUUUCAGUUAACAAGUCAACAUCAAUUUCUUUUGCUGUAAAAAAGCUUGAGGAAGGUGGCUUGAGAUUCGUCUUAAGUGUUUAUAGCCUCUUGCCUAUGCAGUCGGAGAGAUUGAGGUCUGCAGCGUAGAUCCUUCGGGGCUAAAUGCAUUUGUGCUAAGUUAUAGCAUUUUAUAGACAACUUGUUGACUAUGAUUUGUCUUGUAGCUUACUCGCUUAUGUUAUUUUACCUACGCUUAGGAUGUUGAAUCUGUGCGAGACUAC
Molecule: ribosomal RNA, 775 nt
Filed under: uncultured Neocallimastigales
Lineage: Eukaryota; Fungi; Neocallimastigomycota; Neocallimastigomycetes; Neocallimastigales
Description: partial large subunit ribosomal RNA
Rfam family: Eukaryotic large subunit ribosomal RNA
Source: RNAcentral